GAAAUUUAUAUUUCAUUUUUUAGAGAAACCAUCCUUGUUAAAGAUGUGACAUUAAUCCCUCCAAACCUACAAAACACAAUUGAUAAGGUAAGUUGCAGAUUAUCUGAGAUAUUUUUAAUUAUCAUCCCAAGAAAUGUAGCAUACAUGUAUUACUCUUCUUUCAUUUAUAUGAUAAUGAAGAUACAUGUAUCUUGUAAUUUGUACAGUUGUAUAUGUAUUUCUGCCAUCUGUCACUGUUAAUUUAAAUGUACAUUAGGGGUCAGUAAAUAAUCAAAACAUGAUACAUGUAUAAAGACUAAUGGUGUGUAUUUUCAUUAAAUAAUACUCAGGUUUUUUUUGUGUUCAGAUUGAUAGCAAUUUUGUUGUCAAUUGUUGUAGUGUCAUUGAUAAAUGAAUGAAAUAAAUGGUUGUACCUAAAAUUAUUUGAAACAUGUCUGAACUUAACUUAUAUAUACAUUUAUACAUUGUAUUAUAACCAAUUUUUAUUUACAUUUGUAUAUCUAUACGUACAUGUACAUGAUCAAUGUAUCAAUAAUGACAAGGAACUUUUUAUUUAAAUUUCAGAGAUGCUAAUUAACCUUGUUAAUGACUGUGGGAGAACUUAUGCUACAUUUACCUAAUACACAGACAAACACAGAUGGGCAUAGGUAAUAAAUAGAGCAGUUUCAUGUUCAUAAGUUAUAUCAUGUAUGUACAUGUAUCCAUGUCUUUACAUGUAUUAGAGUUAUCUAACCUGUUUAAAAGCUGAUAACUACUUAGUUCUAUCAAAAUUGUAGUCUAUUUGUUUCUCUAUUUGUCCAUAAUUUAUCUUAUAAUGGAUAGAGUUUGAAAAUUAAAUCUAUAAAGUUGGAUAAAAUAUUCAUAAUGCUUGCAUUGGUACAAAGCCAUUUUGAAAAUAAGAAGAUGUGGUAUGAUUGCCAAUAUAUGAAAACUCUCCCCAAUACAUGUACUUCACAUGACAUAUAAAGGAACAACUUUAAGUCACCAUACAACCUUACACAAUAAGACAAACCCAUACUACAUAAUCAGCUGUAAAUUUAAACAAUUCAAAGGAGAAGACUAAAUAUAACUACUGAAUUAUUGGUUAUACAGCAUUAAAAUACAACUACUGAAUUACUGGUUCCUGACUUGGGACAGGCACAUACAGAAUAUGGCAGGGAUAAACUAGAUUGAACUUUAUUAAAAAAUUACCCAUUAUCAAACUAAAAAUGCCUAUUACUAAGUGAACUCAGAUUACUCUGCUGUUUACAUAUUUGUUAAACUAUAAUUUGCUUCUUGUAGAAAUUAGCCUGUGAGAUCAAGAUGCAGAUAUAUCCACCAGAUACCAAAUGCCACACCAAAGCAGACAUUUUCAAAUGUUGAGAGACCUAUGAAUACAUCU
RNAcentral lists this long non-coding RNA (1381 nucleotides) under Mytilus galloprovincialis (Mediterranean mussel). The record is from RNAcentral. Lineage: Eukaryota; Metazoa; Mollusca; Bivalvia; Mytilida; Mytilidae.